This 388-nucleotide ribosomal RNA is filed under the name Draconarius sp. ZZ957. Its description in RNAcentral is "partial 16S ribosomal RNA". Lineage: Eukaryota; Metazoa; Arthropoda; Arachnida; Araneae; Agelenidae. The record is from RNAcentral.
CUCAAUGAAAUUCAAUAGCCGCAAUACUCUUGUGCUAAGGUAGCAUAAUCAUUUGUUUUUUAAUUAAAAACUAGAACGAAAGAUUUAACAUUUUUAUUUCUUUUUUAUAUAAAAAUAUUAAAUUUAUUUUAAAUAUAAUAAAAUAUUUAUAAAUUAAGAAGACAACAAGACCCUAUUGAACUUAACUAAAGUUAAACUGGGGCAGUUAAUUAAAUAUAAUUUUAAUUAAAAAUUAAAAAUAACCUAAUAUAAUUAACACAUCAAGUUACCAUAGGGAUAACAGCGUAAUAAUUUUCUUAAGCUCUUAUUUAAAAAUAUGCUUACGACCUCGAUGUUGAAUUAAUAAUCUAUUAAAUGCAAUAAUUUAAUAAGAAAGUCUGUUCGACUU